UACGUAGGGAGCAAGCGUUGUCCGGAAUCAUUGGGCGUAAAGCGCGCGUAGGCGGCCCUGUAAGUCCGUUGUGAAAGUCAAAGGCUCAACCUUUGAAAGCCGAUGGAUACUGCAGGGCUAGAGUCCGGAAGAGGCGAGUGGAAUUCCUGGUGUAGCGGUGAAAUGCGUAGAGAUGUGGAGGAACACCAGUGGCGAAGGCGACUCUUUGGUCUGUAACUGACGCUGAGGCGCGAAAGCGUGGGGAGCAAACAGG
Molecule: ribosomal RNA, 253 nt
Filed under: uncultured bacterium
Lineage: Bacteria
Description: partial 16S ribosomal RNA
Rfam family: Bacterial small subunit ribosomal RNA
Source: RNAcentral